RNAcentral lists this long non-coding RNA (262 nucleotides) under Crocodylus porosus (Australian saltwater crocodile). Its description in RNAcentral is "lncRNA (ENSCPRG00005012098.1)". The record is from RNAcentral. Lineage: Eukaryota; Metazoa; Chordata; Crocodylia; Crocodylidae.
AAAAGAGCGUGAGUUUGGUGUUCCCACUGAGGUUGUGAAGAGAAAGCAGGGGAAAGAGCGGGCAGAGCUGGCUGGAAGGAACUGACCUCACUACUGGAUCAAGUAUCAGCAAGACGUGAAGCAGAAAAGACAAACACUGAGGCAUUCAUGUGACACAGUGGACAGGUUGGACCAGCAGUGCCAUAAAAUUGCCCAAUAUGCCUACAGCGCUGAGUCCUACUGAGUCCUUGCUGAUCGAUGAAAUAAGACAUGACAUUGUGAA